GUCAAGCAAAGUAAUUAGUUAACUGAAGACUCUUUUACUUUUAGGAGGAAAGGAAGUGACAAGCAAAGAAGAAGUAAAAGGCAUGCACUGGGCUUCAUGGACGUGUGUUGCAGGCCUUGAAGUCAAUGGAAUUUGGCCCAAGUAUUCUGACAUCAAUGAUAUAAACUCAGUAGAUGGAAACUAUGUUGGCCAGGUUUUAGUUACAGCUGAUGACUAUGGAGUUGUAAAAUUAUUCCGAUAUCCAUGUUUAAGAAAAGGUACCUUUUUUCUAAUAUUUUAUUUACCCUGUCAUAAAAGAUGUUAGUUAUGCUUUUAUAUAGUCUAAAUAAAUUAUGAGCUAUUAUUUUAGAGUAU
Molecule: long non-coding RNA, 354 nt
Filed under: Rattus norvegicus (Norway rat)
Lineage: Eukaryota; Metazoa; Chordata; Mammalia; Rodentia; Muridae
Description: long non-coding RNA NONRATT025266
Source: RNAcentral